CGUCGAACCCGAACCCGGAACCGCUCCACGCUCGCUCGCCCGAACCCGAACCCACGUCCGUGCCCACACGUGCCCAGCCCUCUCCGCGUGCAAGCCGCGCCGCGUCGCCUGCACUGCAAGCUGAGCCGCGCCUCCUUGCUGUCGCAAGCCGAGCCGCACGCGCAAGAUCCCUGCGCCAAGCCGAGCCGAGCCAGUCCCUGUUCUCUUUCCAGCCGAGCCGCCAAGCCUAAUUUGGCUCCUUCCAUCCAAUUUUUGGUAAUUAAAUUAAUUAUUUUGGCAUUACCCAGUAAGACUCAAUGUUUUUGGACACUAAAUAAUUUAAUUUGGAAUUAAAUUAAAUUAUUUUCCUUAAGGGACGUCUUGGACCAAGUAACUGCUGCAGCGUGGGAUUUCUUCAGUAGGGGCUCAGCAUUGCAACCUCUUUCUAGGUUAGGACCUCGUUGCUUGGAAAGCACACUUGCCUCGCGGUUAGAACUCGCCAAGUAAAUCUCCAAGUAGAGGACGAGGUAAGGGCAAAGGCAAGCUGGCAAGCGACCAGAAGUGACCGUGGCGAGCCAUAGGGAUUUUUGCUUCCGCUCAUUCUUGUUUUUGACUUUAGUACCUGAGUUUGAGUAUUUUUCACUAUUUACCAUUUUUUUAAAGUAGAUAGGG
This is a long non-coding RNA of Cucumis melo (muskmelon), 651 nucleotides long. RefSeq lists it as uncharacterized. The record is from RefSeq and is a predicted model, not a curated record. NCBI's taxonomy places the organism in Eukaryota, Viridiplantae, Streptophyta, Magnoliopsida, Cucurbitales, Cucurbitaceae. The transcript has 3 exons.